AAUUUGAUAUCUAAAACAUCUAUCCCUCUUCAUUCCCAUGGCCAUGCACUAGAUCAGAUCCCCUCACCUCCUGCCCAGAUUCAUUAAUGCCCUUUUCCCACCUCCAGUCCAUCUAAAUCAUGACUAGGAGUCUGAUAGUCAUUCCUACCUCACUGCUGUCAUCUCAUCAGGCUCCCAUCACCUAAAGAGUAUAAGCCAAAUUCCUGUGACUAACACUUAACACGCUCAGGGAUCUGAGAGGCUGCUUUCCAGAAUCUUCCCAGAAAUAUACCCCAGAAACGCUACUUUCCAUUGGAUCUAAUGCCAUCUUCCCAUACUAGGGUCAAACUAGAAAAUUGAGUAGUGGGAAGGAAGUCAGGUUGGACCUGACACCUAAGGAAUCUCCCUUUGGAUGCCCUAAUGUCAGCUCUAAUUCUGACAGGAACAGGCUUACUGAUCCCUUUGUCUCCCACCUACCUCUAAGCCUUUAAUAAGCUCCUCAUCACUGCUGAGAUAACGUCCUAGUUCCCUGAGUUCAUCAAGUGCUGCUCUCCUCUUCCUCGUUAAAUUAGCAACUCCCUUCUGCCUCUUUGUCCUCUUUAACAGAGUCUUCUUCUACAGUUAUCUGUACCAGUCAGCCAAAGCUAAAAUAAGCUGCUGUAACAAAUAGCUCCAAAAUCUUUGUGGGUUACAAUGGCAAUGUUUAUUUCUUACAGAUAUUGUGCAUCUGCUCUGGGUCAGUGGCAAAUCUACUCCAUUUCCUUUUCACUCCAGUAUCUAGGCUUAUGGGGCAGCUCUUCCAAGGAACAUUACUAACUUCAUGGCAGAGGGAAAAGAGGAUAGUGGGACCUCACAGUGGCUCUUAAAGCUUCUGCUUGAAAGUAGCAUGUAUCACUUCCAUUCAUAUUUCAUUGGCCAAAGAAAGCCAAAUGGCUUCUUCUGAGUCCAUUCGGAACAGAUGUAUGAUAUUCAUUACAUUAGAGGAACUGCAAAUCACACGGUCAAGCUUGACUUGAGUGGUCAUGAAGGCAUAAAAUAAAUGCUUUGACCAAGAAAACAACCUACUAUGCCAUUCUAGUCACGGACUCUAUCACCUUACUCCUGGAUUAUUAAAUCCCAGGAGAUGACGAAUUCUAACCUAAUCUGGUCCCAAUGGAUGUGUUCCUACAGAUUACUUUGGGUCUUCUUGCACUGGUGUCUUUGUAUUAUAUCAACAGUGGAGUAGCUGCCUUGUUGUUAUUUCCUAAAUGCUACUAUCACCUUGUCUUCAGUAGCUCCCUAUUGCAAAUCAGUUCAAAUCUAAAUCCUGUGACCUCAUGUUCAAGCCUUCCAUCAACUGGUCCUCCCUUUCACGUUCAACUGCAUCCUAGCUCCAACUCCUCAGAUCCAGCCAGGGGUCUGAUGGGGUUCCUCACAACUACUCCAGUAUUUUGCUUGUGUUUCCUCUUGUUCCCUCCUCCACUCUUUCUUUUCCAACAAGUAUGUGUCCUUCAAUUUCUUUAAGAGUUGUCUCAAAUCUCAUCUUCAAAAAAAUAUCCUUGAAUAACUAUCUUCUAUUCUUACAAUCCUCAGAAUUCAGAAUUACAGCUGUGUACUCUUGUUUUUAUUUUCUGCUUCUAGAGCCAUUGUGUACUGCUGUGAGAAAAGACCUUGGGAAUUUCCUAUUCCACACACACCACCUUCCCUGAAUUUAGGUAUGAGGAAAUUGAGACUCAGGAAAAGAAUGAGCAGAAAAGUCACUAAUUUAUGGAGAGGCUAAGUUGGGAAGACAAUUAAAUCUUCCAGCUCCUUGUUAGUAUUCUUCCCCUAUAUCAAUUUGCCUCUUUUAAUUUAUAUCUAUUUCUCCAACUAGGUGAUAAUCUACUGUAGGGUAGGGAUGCCUCAUUACAUUAUCUGUUAUACAAGACCCUUGGCAUAUAUUAUUUCUAAUUCUAGCAACAGCCUUGCAAGGUAGCAAUUAUUCUUAUGUUACCAGUGAGAAGACUAAGGGUUAGAUAACUCAAGUUAUGGGCCCAAGAUCAAAUAAACAGUAAAUGACAAAGCCAGGGUUUAGUGCAUGCCUACUGUGUGCUUGAAAUUGUGCUAGUUUUAAUUAAAAUGCAAUUUACUUAAAAAAUAAAUUCCACAACUUCAACAUUGUUCAUAAUAAAUCUCAGGUGUGUAAUACAUUUGGGGCUAUGGAGAUUUAUGUAGAACAAGCAUUGUGACCGAGAAACUGGGAAAGAAAUUGGACUUAAACUUGGUGAUUAAGGAUGCACAGGAUAUAUAUAAUCUAACGAGACAUAGUGGGCGGACGCAGGUAUUUCCAACAAGGAUAAGGGUGUAAGCAGAAACUGGUAAAAAUGGGUUGUUGGAAAAGAGGGAAAAAUUUGUUUUGCAGAAGCCAUAGUUUUUGUAGGAGAAUCAUGUAUAGUAAGUUAUAACAAUAGAUUGAGGCAAAGUUAUGGAAGCCUUUGAAUGCCAGGUUAAGGUAUUUGAGACUUAUUCUUCAGGUUAUGGGGAAUCAUCGAAUGUGGUUGACCUAUAAAAGUAGAGUUUUAGCCAGUUGCCCAAUAUGUGAGUAGAGGGAAAAGGACUGAGAGAUGAGAGACCACUUAAAGACCACAUAAAGUGGAUUUAAGACUACUGUAAUCACCUACUCUUGAACUGAAAAGCCUGGCAUGGCGGUGGGAUGGAAAUCAUGCUAUUGGUACAAGAACUAUUACUAUUGUUUGUGAAGGGGGGAAUUGGAAAGGUGAAAUGUAAAUUUUUUAUAUUUUUUAUUUUGGGGGGAAGAUUGGCUCUGAGCCAAUACCUAUUGCCAAUCUUCCUCUUUUUGCUGAGGAAGAUUGUUCCUGAGCUAAUAUCUGUGCCAGUCUUCCCCUACGUUGCCUGUGGGAUGCCGCCACAGCCUGGCUUGAUGAGCGGUGCAUAGGUCAGCACCCGGACCCGAACCUGUGAGCCUGGGGUGCUGAAGUGAAGUGUGUGAAUUUAACCACUAUGCCACAGGGCUGGCCCCUGAAAUGUAAAUUUUUUAAGUUGCUUGUCCAAAAGUAGACAAUCCUGUUUUCCUGAAAACAUGUACGGAAGUUAUGGAUAUGAAAGCUAAUCAAAAUAUACCCUCGAGAUGAGGGAGGGAGAUUCUGUUCCCAGAGAGUUAAAAGGCUUUACACCCCCAAUCCCAUCCUAUCCUUUACACGGUCUUCAGUGGUAUGCUUCUAAUACACGUUUUUUAAUUUUGCUCUUUUCUUUCAUAAGUAAAUCCACAGUUCACUGAGCAUCCACGUGCGGCUAAAUGUGUGCUGCUUUCAACCUAAUGGCUUCCAAGUGUAUGAAUCUCUUCUCAUAAGUAUUAUCAACACUUUUAUUGUUUGCUAUUCAAUUACUUGAAAAGAUAAAAUGAAUGAAAUUUAUUUAAUUAAAAAAUAUUCAAUUUGUUGCCUGCACUUUGAUAAACAAAGAUGACACUACUCCCCAAAUGAAGUGUGGGCCACCCAGACAGAACUAUAGACAACAUCUGAAAUUUAAAAUGUUAAUUCAACAACUAGCAUACGGAAACUCAAAUGUGAAUCACCACAGGUAGUUUAGUGAUAUUAAACCUACAAUGAGGGGAAAAAGUGUAGAUUGAUUAAAAGUUGGAUUUAUGACAUAUGCAUAAAUCAGUGCACUAAUCAUAUUCAUAAAAUUCCUUAAAUCCUUCUUUAAGAAUUUUUUGUUUUCAACCCUGGAAUCAUUGUUGGACUCCUCUCUGGCCUUCUCAAAACUCAAGAUCUCUCUUAACUUUGGGGUUCAGAAAGAUCUGGAAGUAUUGGCCUAGCCAACAUCAAUGGUAGUAAAAUUUAACCACAUAGCUGCCAAAUACUAUACAGUUGUCCCUGGUAUCUGCACAGGAUUUGUUCCAGGACCCCUUGAGGAUACCAAAAUUGGAGGAUGCUCAAGUCCCUUAGCCAGCCCUCUGGGUCCGCAGGAUCCAAGGGCCAACUGUACCUUAUUCUGGAAUCCUCAUUUCUACAUUUAAUUGGGUAAUCCAGGAACAAUUAUGUGGCCUGGAUCUGUAUGACUGAUGGCUCAAUCUCAUUUCAGUGAUAAAAGGAUGAAGAUUUCAGUGGGUUUUGGAAGGUCUAGAAAAAAGGUCUUCAGUCUGCAUGACUAGUGUCCUUUUCUUACGAAGGGGCUCUGAAAAUUUUUUGUAUAGCAUGGAUCCCUUUGGCAGUCUAAUGAAGCCUAUGCAUCCCUUUUCAGAAAAAAAGUUUUUAAAUUCCUAAAAUAAAAAUACAGUUGUGUACCACGUAACAAAUUUUGGUCAAUGAUGGACCACAUAUACAACGGUAGUUCCGUAAGAUUAGUAGCAUACAACCUAGGUGUGUAGGAGGCUAUACCAUCCAAUUUUGUGUAAGUGCACUCUAAGAUGCUCCCACAAGGACAAAAUCACUUUAUGAUGCCUUUCUCAGAACAUAUCCCCAUUGUUAAGUGGCGCAUGACUGUACGUACAACUAGAAAGCAAGCCAAUUAGACUGAAACUUGGUUAUCAAAAUACUGAAAAACAAAUUUUUGCUAUGUUAACACAUGUACCUCUUUAUUAAUACUUUAAAUAACAAGGCCCAGGAGCAGGUCUAAUGACUACUACGAUUUUGACACCAUGAUAAGUGUUGACAACAUUUUGAGAUAUCUGCUACAACUAUAAAGUGAUAUGAAAAAUGUGUGUGAUUUCUCACGGUGAGAGUUACAGAUACUGCUAACAUGACAGUGGUUUGCUGUCUACAUUUAUCAUGGAAGGAAAUGUUUAAUUUCAGUCUGGGAUUAGUACACAUGAAGAUGCAAAUUUUUUCCCUUUCAAGGCCACAGACCAUCCCCCUCAAUUUUGUUAGUAGCUAGACCUCAGGCUAAGAACGUGGAUAUUAAAGGAUUGUUUCUAAGUAAAACAUAAGCUCUCAGUGCUCAUCAGAGAUCAUAGAAACAUCUACUCAGGCAGCGUGGAAUUGACCCAUUGUCACUCUGGGAAGCCAUCCAUUGAGCUUGCUCACCACCGUAACUAGUACCUAGCAUCAUGCCUGACCCAGAAUAGAUAUUCAGUGCAUAUUUGUUGAUCGACUGCAUGAAGAAAGGAUUGGAGAGACAAUGGAGUGAAGUUGGAUUUGGCUCUCUAAAGGUCCUUUCUUCUCGAACAUUCUAAGACUCUAUGGCUCCCUAAAAAAUGCAGAAGGAAAUAACUGAAGCCUGCUCACAGGCCUGCGGCUGCCAAGAAGUGACCGCAGGAGACAGGGCAGGCAGGGGGAGGAACAACAAUGCAAUGCAGCAGGGGUGGAAUGGGAGGGUGGUCAAAAGCUCAACAAUGAGCUACAGCUCUCUCCCAGAGAUAAAGACCCAGAUCAGAAAAUGGGGCUGCUGCACCCAGUUACCACAGAGGGUAACAGAAGGGCAGAGGAACAGCUGAGGCUGCCCAUCUGUUUUUUUCUGCUGCAUGUCUGUCAGCAUCGGCAACGGACAGGAAAUUCAUUCAUCAAGAUCCUGGCUCAUAAUUCUCUUGAGGAGGAGAUUAUUUGUAAGCUCAAAGUCUUUUUGUGUCUCUGACAAGUGUCACUAGCUGAAAGUGUUGACUGAGGGUGCCGCCCACCCCUACCACCUGGAAAGGAAAGAAGAAAGGCUGAAUUCACACAGGCUUGUGAAGUUCCUGGUAGGGCUAGGUGUUAGAAACUAAGAAGACCAUAAUAUAGAACAAUUGUUAGGGUUAAUAAUAGUCAUAUAAACUAGAUACAGAUGAAUGCAUUUAUUUCAAUUGAGAUGUUUACCCAAGUGAAGACUUUUAUAUCAGGACCUCAUAUUGUACAAAAGAGUAAUAAUAAAAAUGGCUGUCAUUUUUUCAACAUGCCUACCAGGCAUCAGGCAUCUGAUGUAAUUUUAUCUCAUUUAAUCCUCACAACAGUCCUGUGUGCAUUACGAGCUCCUGUAGUGGCUUGAAUGGUGGUCCCAUCAAAAGGUAUGUCCACCCGGAAUCUGUGAAUGUGAUCUUAUUUGGAAAAGGGUCUUUGCAAAUGUAGUUAAAUUAAAGAUCUUGAGAUGAGAUCUCAAGAUUAUUUGGAUUAUCUGGAUGGGCCCCAAAUCCAAUGACAAGUGUCUUCCUAACAAGAGGAAAAGACACAGACAGAGAAGGAGAUCACACAGAGGAGAAAGCCACGUGAAGACAAGGCAUCGGAGUGAUGUGUCUGCAAGUCGAGGAAUGCCAAGGAUUGGUGGCAGCUGCCGGAAGCUGGGAGAGAGGCCUGGAACAGGUUCUCCCUCAGAGCCUCCGGAAGGAACCAACCCUGCUAACACCUCCUUUCGGACUUCGGGCCUCCUGAGCUGUGAGGAAGAAGUUUCUGUUGAGUUAGGCCACCUGGUUUCCUCCGGGAUCUACUCAAGGCUUUGAGAAUCAGGAAGCUGUUGUUCUCUUAUUGAAAACUGCCCAUGUGACGAUGGCCAGUUGCUGACUGGGGAGGAUCUGAGUCAGAUUCCCAUCUCAAUGAAAAAAAUGACACUUUCAUUGUCAAAGAAUGACAUAAAACUGACCAUUUUAAGAAGGAAGUUUUUUCAUGAGAAUGAUGGUGUCGAGGGAGGAGAUCCAGAUUCAAGAAGAUUGUUCCUACCGUGCCUGAAGCCAUCCAUACAUGCUAAGGGCCUGAGAAAGCAGGAAAGGAAAUAAGUUUGGAACAAAAUGCUGCACACUCUCUCACCUGAAGAGAUGCUUCCUACCCAAAGAAGAGCAUGCUGUUGUCAUAAGGGGACUACUCUACUAGACCUCCUGCGAGUGAGGUGAGUGGAUUGAUGGACAGACAGACGAGAGCUUGGGGAUGGUCUCUUGCACCAAAAAGGAACAGGCAGAGGGCCGACGCAAGCAGCAGAGGUGGUCCUCUGGCCAGGGGAGUGUGUCAUAGGAAAGCAACGUACAGCGUGCUCGGAAUCCGUUUCACAAGGAAAACCGGCCUAGGUCAUUCAGUAAUAAGACUGGUAUCUGAGCUCUUGAAGGAAGCAGGGUCACGGCCUGGGUCUGAGUUUGGAGGUUCCUUAUGAGUCAUCACUGUUCCAAGUGCUUUAUCUGAACUGUAGUCUAAACAGACCUGCCCUCUGGACUUCCCUUGGAAAGAGAGAUUUCUCCAGGAAAAUCCAUCUUGAGAGGUCUUUGAAUUGCAUAAUGCAUUCAAAAUGCAGCAGGAAACAAACGAAGUCACACAGGGAUUUUCUUAAGAAAUCUGGCUACAAUUUUAAAAUUUGAUUGUAGGUCUCCUUGACAGCAGGAUAGGUGAAAUUUCAUAAAACGUUCAGUACAUCUACACUCUCUUCUAGCACUUGUGAAACUAUAUGCAAUGGAAAGAGAUCCAAACAUGCUAAUAAGCACAUGAAGAAAAAAGGCUUUCCCUAAGCAAACACUUUUUUGUUUAAUUGUUAAACAAAGGUAAGCAGUUUUCUUCACUGUGGGGCUUCUUAAAGUGUUUAAUAAGUUACCGUGCAUUGUGAAUUUCUGACAGGGGAGAUUUAAUUGUCCGUAUUAACUAAAUUACAGGAACAUUUCAUUAACAGGGCAAGGAUUAACAGCUCUCUUCAGAACACAGUUUGGGCCAUAAUAUUGAUACAUUAUUAUUAUCUAAAUUAUCAGUGCUCCUCCUCCAGUGACAUACAUAAAAAUAAAUCAUUCCAGUGGUUGAGUUAAUAAUUACAUCCUGUCUUCUUAAUCCUUGAUCGCCUGAAGUUUAGGCCCUGAACCAUUUCAAGAUUAAUUUACAAGGUGCAACAAAUGUCCUAUAAGCCACCAAGGUCUGGACUGAGACCAGGGCUGACAACUGCAUUUUCCACGCUAUUGAGCAUUACUCCACUGAUGUUCGAGAUAUCAUCAUCUCAUCAAUGCAUAAGGAAUAUUUGCCAAAGAAAUAAUCCUCCCCAAAUAUUUGCAACUAAUAGCAAUUUUGUUCUAAUGAAAAAACUUUCAUUAUAUGUGUUUUGCUUGGAACUUUAAAACUUGCAACUCCUUAACAUGAAGAAAAUUAUUACUCAAGUGAAUGUUGAAACUCCUGUGGAGCCGUUAGCUGCACUAUGCAUCGGUUGAAACUCUGCUCCACGCUCCUCAGCUAUCCGGUGCUGGGAAGGGACCUUCUGCAAGCACAGCUUCACCCAGAGUUGUCCUGAAACAGCAGGUUGCAGGCCGGGCGGGUGUUUUUCAUGCUCCCUCACACAAGUCUCUCACAUCUGACAGCUCAUUGGAGCCGCGUUGUGUUUGAAAGGAAUUACACCCAACAAUGCAGAUUGUAUAACAAUCCAAUACACCAUCUUUAAUCAGAUGCCACUGAAUUUGCUUUUAAAAGCUUUUCUUCUUUCUCCUCUUCCAAUUCGUGAGACGUGACCAGGUUAAUGACAUUUUCAAUAGCUUGUUAGAAUAAUUUCUCGUUUAGCCUUUUUAAAGAUUAGGGUGUUUGCUUCACGCUCAGCGCUUUUUCCUAUUCCAUUUUGUGUAAACUUACUGGGAGGAUUCAGUGAGUGGGCAUCAGCAACAACCAGGAAAGUCCAUAAAAUGGCAGUUGAAAGUGGUAAAUCCUCCAUGGACCCCCUCAAGGAUAUUCCUCCAACAUAACAUUGGCCACCAUUGCUCCCAGCUUUUUAAAGAAUGGCAAUCUUCCCUACUGUUACAGUUGCAUAAAUUGCAUGCUCAAGGUCACAAGAAAUCUGAAAUCCUUCUACUUUGUAAGGAGUUUUUUUUUUUUU
Molecule: long non-coding RNA, 8688 nt
Filed under: Equus caballus (horse)
Lineage: Eukaryota; Metazoa; Chordata; Mammalia; Perissodactyla; Equidae
Description: lncRNA (ENSECAG00000059688.1)
Source: RNAcentral